RNAcentral lists this long non-coding RNA (1836 nucleotides) under Setaria viridis. RNAcentral's name for it is "long non-coding RNA (SVIR_LNC004210)". Lineage: Eukaryota; Viridiplantae; Streptophyta; Magnoliopsida; Poales; Poaceae. The record is from RNAcentral.
AAUCCAAUAUAUAUAGUUAGAAAUCUCAAAGUAAAUUUAGGACCUAGGAUCAAGAACUAAAACCUAAUUGUAGAAACCCCCAAAAGUCACCUUAAGUGAAACACCAUGAACUAAGAGUAAAUUAGAUAAUAACAGAAAAGCAUGCAAGCUUCUCGAAAGAAAUAUAGUUUAAAGCCCACCAAGAAAAGGACCACCUUGACCAUUAGAGAGAUCUCCAAAUAAGGAAAACAUAACUGCCAUCAUACUUUGGAAGGAAUAUCACACCUAAGAAGAAUCAUCAUACGAAAUUUUACGAAAUAACAAACCAAGUUUCGGUCAUAGAAAAGCCCACCCCUUCCAAACUGACCCCAGAAGAAGGACCUCAAAUAAAUUUAAAAUAAUGGAAUCCCCCAAUAAUGUAAGGAUUUUAGGAAUUUUGCUCUAAGAAAACCUUAGGGUUUUACUCUUCUACCCCAACCAAGAAUAAUAAAAGAUAAGUUAAAAAUCUUUAACUAGGGUAGUAAGCUGAAUACCAUAGGAAUCACCAGAACCCAAGAACUUAAGGAUUAAAACAAAAUAAGAAAAAGAUAUUCACCCAUUAAACACCUAUAAUUGACCAACUAUAUAUAUUAAAAAGACAUAUACAGAAAAGUAAAGCCACUCUAGAAAUAUCCCUACAUUAAGAACAAAGUUAGACUCACAAAAGAUCAUAGAUAAAUACUCUACCCAUAAGCCCAAGGAAAGAUUGAAAGAUAAGAUAAAGAAAAGAAAAGAACCCCAAAACACCUUAAGUGGGGUAGCACCCCAUAUAAAGAAGAAAUAAAGAUUAUAGCCCAAUAUAUUAAGUCCUGGAAGGAAUACCCAGGAAAUAUAAUAAAGUCAAAAUUAAACAGCACCAAUAUAAAGGAGAACCUUCAAAAGCCUAGGCCAAAAACAAAGACUACCUAACAACUAAUAAAUAAUCCCUCUAGGGUAAGAAGUCGAUGAGAAAAAUUGAGGAACUUAAGGAUAAAAAUAUAUAUAGAGAUAAGGUUACCAUACCGUACCUUCACGGCUAAGCAAGUGAACAACAUAGCAUCGCCCUUAAGGACAAAAGGCAAGAUAAAACACAGGAUGCAUAAGGACCCAAAAUACUAAAGACCAAAGGAUAGAAAAAUAGGAAGAAUAACACACUAAUAAUAAUAACAAUAAUAAUAAUAAUAAUAAUAAUAGCCUUAUAAAAAUUUACUAUCCUUAGAAAUAAAGGAGAAAUAGAAAUAAAUGAUAAAAAUCCAAAACAAGAUGAAUAGUACCCUACUCCUUUUCUUCUACCCUUGAAUCUUGAGGACGAGAUUCCCUUAAGAUCUGUAACAUCCCGAAAUUUAAAACAUUUAAAAAUAAGGACCUUCAAAAAAAAUUCUAAACAAACUUAGAUUUAAUCUUCUUUCCCCCUUUAAUGCUUAAUUUUUUUAGAAUUUAUUCAUCUGUGCAUGAGCUCCACAUGAUUGUGCAUAUGAGUGCUGAGUUUAGAAUUAAUUCAAAUGUCAUAAACUAACCCCAAAUUUGAAUCUAGUUCAAAUUUGGAACUCAAACCCCAUCAAAGUCUCUCUAAACAAACAUUAAACCCUACUAUUCCUAAACCAGGCCGGCAACUUCGUUUUCAGCCCAACCGGCCUUCCAGCCCAUCCCACCACCGUCUCCACCUCUCCCCUCUCGUACGCACGCAAGUGGGUCGUAAGGCCUAGCAUCCAGCCCAGCCAGCAUACUCUGCGAUGCCUGCAUCAUCUUCCUCCUCGCUCUCUCUCCCUCACAUGCUCGCCUGUCCCCGUCUGUCCCCCCUAGCACACGACGCCGGCGCCUGGAUGCGCCUCCCUGGCC